RNAcentral lists this ribosomal RNA (253 nucleotides) under uncultured bacterium. RNAcentral describes it as "partial 16S ribosomal RNA". It matches the Rfam family "Bacterial small subunit ribosomal RNA", at positions 524 to 776 of the family's 1533-position model. The record is from RNAcentral.
UACGAAGGGGGCUAGCGUUGCUCGGAAUCACUGGGCGUAAAGCGCACGUAGGCGGCUCUCUAAGUCAGGGGUGAAAUCCUGGAGCUCAACUCCAGAACUGCCUUUGAUACUGGAGAGCUUGAGUCCGGAAGAGGUGAGUGGAACUCCGAGUGUAGAGGUGAAAUUCGUAGAUAUUCGGAAGAACACCAGUGGCGAAGGCGGCUCACUGGUCCGGUACUGACGCUGAGGUGCGAAAGCGUGGGGAGCAAACAGG